Molecule: ribosomal RNA, 847 nt
Filed under: uncultured Gammaproteobacteria bacterium
Lineage: Bacteria; Pseudomonadati; Pseudomonadota; Gammaproteobacteria
Description: bacterial SSU rRNA
Rfam family: Bacterial small subunit ribosomal RNA
Source: RNAcentral
UGACGCUGGCGGUAGGCUUAACACAUGCAAGUCGUGCGAGAAAAUAUCUUCGGAUAUGAGUAGAGCGGCGAACGGGUGAGUAACGCGUAGGAAUGUACCUAGUAGAAGGGGAUAGCCCGAGGAAACUCGGAUUAAUACCGUAUACCUCCUUCGGGAGAAAGAAGGCCUCUCUUUGAAGCUUUCGCUAUUAGAUCAGCCUGCGUAAGAUUAGCUUGUUGGUGAGGUAAUGGCUCACCAAGGCUACGAUCUUUAGCUGGUCUGAGAGGACGAUCAGCCACAUUGGGACUGAGACACGGCCCAGACUCCUACGGGAGGCAGCAGUGGGGAAUAUUGGACAAUGGGCGCAAGCCUGAUCCAGCCAUACCGCGUGUGUGAAGAAGGCCUUCGGGUUGUAAAGCACUUUAAGCAGGGAGAAAAAAAUAUAGGUUAAUACCCUAUGUUCUUGAUGUUACCUGCAGAAUAAGCACCGGCUAAUUCCGUGCCAGCAGCCGCGGUAAUACGGAAGGUGCAAGCGUUAAUCGGAAUUACUGGGCGUAAAGCGCGCGUAGGUGGUUUGUUAAGUUGGAUGUGAAAGCCCUGGGCUCAACCUAGGAACUGCAUCCAAAACUGGCUAACUAGAGUACGAUAGAGGGAGGUAGAAUUCAUAGUGUAGCGGUGGAAUGCGUAGAUAUUAUGAAGAAUACCAGUGGCGAAGGCGGCCUCCUGGAUCUGUACUGACACUGAGGUGCGAAAGCGUGGGUAGCGAACAGGAUUAGAUACCCUGGUAGUCCACGCCGUAAACGAUGACAACUAGCUGUUGGGAGGCAAAGCCUUUCAGUGGCGCAGCUAACGUUUUAAGUUGUCCGCC